Schizosaccharomyces pombe (fission yeast) is the source of this 627-nucleotide non-coding RNA. Lineage: Eukaryota; Fungi; Ascomycota; Schizosaccharomycetes; Schizosaccharomycetales; Schizosaccharomycetaceae. The record is from the annotation of a GenBank genome assembly.
AGACGCUACACAAGGUGACCAUAUCGACCUUGCGACUUUUCCGUUUCAAUGCGGUGGCAUUAGGAUUGUAUGCGACUGGCCGCUGAAUCUUUCUACCCGAUUUUGUUUUCAUUCCUUCCACGUGAAAGUCUUCCUGUAAAUCAUCCUCGGCACCUUCUGCAACAUCGAGAUCGUAAAAUGGUAUACGAUUAUCGUCUUCCCGACGAGACGAUCGAAUGCGUCCAUUCUUAGUCUUGGUUGAUGCAGACUUGGGCAAGCGAUUGAAUGAUACAGACAAAGAAGGAUCUUGCUCCGGUGGUACUGAAGUAGCGCCUGAAGAGGAAGAUGCAGGCAUAGUCAUACCGCCAUACGGUGUCUGUACAUGCUGCUGCAGUUGAUGGAAAUCAGCGCCAAAUGGUCCAACAUCGGAAAUUCCAGAACCCGAUGCGACAGGGGAAGCAUCAAAAUUCGAGCUGUCCGUUUCUCUAACUACACCUUGAGCCGAUACCUGAGGAAGGGAUGAAUCAGCACCAUUUUCAAAAUGGAAACCGGCAUAGUCAUUUACACCAUAGCUCUUUCCUUCGUCGAAAAAAUUCUUUUGAGACAUUGUAAAAAACGAGGACUAAUAAAUAUGAGUAAUUUGGAAAA